This 253-nucleotide ribosomal RNA is filed under the name uncultured bacterium. RNAcentral describes it as "partial 16S ribosomal RNA". It matches the Rfam family "Bacterial small subunit ribosomal RNA", at positions 524 to 776 of the family's 1533-position model. The record is from RNAcentral.
UACGUAGGUGGCAAGCGUUGUCCGGAUUUACUGGGCGUAAAGAGCGCGCAGGCGGUCGUUCAAGUCGCGUGUGAAAGCCCCCGGCUCAACUGGGGAGGGUCACGCGAUACUGAUCGACUGGAAGGCAGGAGAGGGUAGUGGAAUUCCCGGUGUAGUGGUGAAAUGCGUAGAUAUCGGGAGGAACACCAGUGGCGAAGGCGACUACCUGGCCUGUUCUUGACGCUGAGGCGCGAAAGCUAGGGGAGCAGACGGG